AUAAAAGAUCAGCUAUGAGUAAAUACCUGCUCCUAGUCAGAGAGUGUUGGAGUGUUAAAACUCUUGAAUACAGAAAAAGAUCAGCAAUUUAAGUAGAACCAGAUAAGAGGAUAAAGGGAAGACAAUACAGAAGGAGCAGAUGAGGAACAUGGCUGAGGCAGGUGAGGUUGCAGCAUACACGCUCCUGCACCCACAGCAGGCACUGCUGUUUGAAUAGGGCUUUUCUUUCCUGCUAAUCUCAGACAUGACUCAAUAAUCCUCCUUGGCUAUAUACUCAAGAUUGCCAUUUUUAACCUACCGACAAGUGUUGGCCCAUGAGAAGCAACUACUUUACUUUCAUGGGGUUAAAGGUUUUUGUGAGUGUAUUAGUUAAAGAAUUUAAAAUGACAGUUAAUAGCAAAUUUGUAUUGCAUGUGUAGUUUGUUUGUGUGCCUCCUCGAAGCAAACUCUAUUAUUCUUAUCCCAUUGAACAUACUCAGUAACUGUCAAUUAAUCUCUGUUCUUAUAAAGUCUUGCAUUAUAUAGCCUCUUCAGGGAUUGUUAUACAUGGAGGGAGCCCUACUUACAACUGGGUAAAGAUUUUGGUUUCUGCACUCGGUACAGUAUGCUGCCUUAAUAAGACUUACUUCUGAUGUAUGACAUUAUGCAUGAACUCUCUAGCAUUUGUUUGCUUUCUUUGUUUCAGAGUGACUUAUUUCCAGCCCUCCUAUGCUGUGACUAUGUUUUAAUUCUUCUCCUAAAUUCUCCUUUCUGGUUUGAUUUUAGCAUGCAUGCGUCUAAUGCACAACCAUCAGCCUCAGUAUCUUAGGAACAUUACUCCAUGAUAGGUGUGGGGAGCUUACGAUGUGGGCCUCAGGCAGCAAGUGAUUUGCAUUGGUCAUGGGCAUGCAUCUGGAGCAGAAUUGAGCCUGGAAAAGUGACUGUGACCGGUAGAAGAGGAUGUAUGUAGCCUCAUCACUUAAGGCAUUGAUUUUCAACCACGGAGAUCCCUUACAAAACAAUUUCUGCUCCAACCCACAUCCUGAUUUUAUAGGUCUUGAAUAAGUCAGAGACCAAGGCAUGUAUUAAAAGCAUCCUAGGCAUUUAAUAUGCAUCCAAGGUAGGAAAAACAAAAUCAUUGUUUUAUAGGUAAAGUUUUGUUUAAGGGAAAGAGGCACAACAGGUAGGGGAGUGCAUUUAUCAGGUGUUGCUUUCAAGAGUAGGCUUAGUGGUGGCCCAGAGGACCAGACUAGUCAGCUUUGUCACACAGGCAACAAAUGCUCCAGGGUGACUUUGCCUCAAAAGUCAGAUUAGCUUUAUCAGAUUAGCUCUGUUUCUCUACCAUGGAUAGAUACCUCAGGGUCACUCCAACUUCUUAUCAUGGCAGAGUCAUAUUUUCUAAUAAAGGUCAUCCUUAAGUUAUCUUUUGGUAUGGUAUUUCCAAGUGCAUUACGCCUUUCCCUAUACCUCCCACCAGCUUUUUCAUCUUCGGAAACAGAGCCACCUUAAUUGUGAGGUAUGCGAUAUCGCUAUAUUCCUUUAGAUGUCUUAUAUAAACUUAUGUGAAACCAUAGAACAAAAUACCAUUUUUAUGGUAGGUGUAUUCACAGAAAAGAGGGAAGGAAUAUGUUUAAACAUUUGGAUCUACUUUCCCAACACAAAUAACAAUUUGGAUAUAGCAGAAAGAACUGUGAAAAAAAAUUAAUAAGCGUGGUUGUUGAAUUGUCAAUUGUUCAAUGAAAUAUUUGUGUUCAUAUUGAAAAACUGCCCACACAUUUAUCUCUUCAGAUUACUUAUUAAAAUUUUAUUAAAUACUUUCCAUUUUUACCCUUUUGGUUGAGGUAUAUAAGAAGAAUUCAAUUUACUCCUGCCUUGGAAAAUGAUAAAAUAAACCUUAGCAAAUGUAAUAUUUUGUUAAGAUUUAAGAAUUUAAGUGAAGAAGUCAAAAUAAAUUUAGACAAUGUAUUCAUGCUGCAAUCUGUUUUCGCCUCACUGGAAAUGUCUGCUACAGAGGCAAACUGAAGUUGUGUAUAUCAUGCUGAUUCAGAAGAGAAUGAAGGCAUUUGUCAAGAGAUAAUGUCAGACUAAACAGACGUGUUCCAAUCGAGUAAUGCAUUUGGAGGAUUUCCAAAUAUUUGCUGAUCUGAGGAGGGUGAGGUAUAUGAUGGGAAACAAAUCUGAGAAAAGAAGGAUGGUGGAUGCUUUCCCAUUUUGACCUAUGGUCAUUUUGGCUCACCCAGGGCACCUUUCAGUCCUGCAAGCUCCAUUCAUGGGAGUUUCUGAUCUACUGGAAUACAGCAAUGAAUUCGUCAAUAUAAUGCAAUGGAAAUGCUGUCUCAGAAAUACACACAGAGACA
Molecule: non-coding RNA, 2336 nt
Organism: Macaca mulatta (Rhesus monkey)
Lineage: Eukaryota; Metazoa; Chordata; Mammalia; Primates; Cercopithecidae
Source: RefSeq, a predicted model, not a curated record